Long non-coding RNA from Neopelma chrysocephalum (saffron-crested tyrant-manakin), 515 nucleotides. RefSeq lists it as uncharacterized. NCBI's taxonomy places the organism in Eukaryota, Metazoa, Chordata, Aves, Passeriformes, Pipridae. The transcript has 2 exons. The record is from RefSeq and is a predicted model, not a curated record.
CUUCCUGCACACAUGAAACAUCAGGGUCAUGCAAACUCUGUUACACUUGAAUGAGCCUAAAAAACCCGAAAUAGCUCGUAAAAUAAGCUGCUCUGAGGGAAAGAAUCAACAUCUUUUUAAGUAAAUGGCUUCUCUUCCAAAUGGAGAUCACUCUGCAAUUCAACAGCACCGGAAAAUGAAAAUGCAGCCAAAGGGGCUUACAGGGCUUGCCUGAGGAUAAAUGAAACACUGGUACUUUUGCUUAGUUUGUAUGGACCAAAUGUUAUAAUGACUUGGCAAAUUCUCUUUCAAAGAAACAGCCCUUCACUUACUUGAAAGGAUGAAGACUGGAUCCCUUGUGCCUCAGCUUGGUUUUGUGUUUUGAAUGAUAACUGGAAAAUAAAAACAGCAUUGUUGGUGAACAAAGACAACCGCUCCUAUUUGUACCACACUAUCAGACUGGGUUUGAAGCAGAUUUAAUCCAGUGUCACUUCUCCAUUCGUUAGUGUACACUGAAUAAAGACAGCCUCGCUCGA